Molecule: ribosomal RNA, 491 nt
Filed under: uncultured bacterium
Lineage: Bacteria
Description: partial 16S ribosomal RNA
Rfam family: Bacterial small subunit ribosomal RNA
Source: RNAcentral
AGUGAACGCUGGCGGUAGGCCUAACACAUGCAAGUCGAACGGCAGCACAGUAAGAGCUGCUCUUACGGGUGGCGAGUGGCGGACGGGUGAGGAAUACAUCGGAAUCUACUUUUUCGUGGGGGAUAACGUAGGGAAACUUACGCUAAUACCGCAUACGACCUACGGGUGAAAGCAGGGGAUCUUCGGACCUUGCGCGAUUGAAUGAGCCGAUGUCGGAUUAGCUAGUUGGCGGGGUAAAGGCCCACCAAGGCGACGAUCCGUAGCUGGUCUGAGAGGAUGAUCAGCCACACUGGAACUGAGACACGGUCCAGACUCCUACGGGAGGCAGCAGUGGGGAAUAUUGGACAAUGGGCGCAAGCCUGAUCCAGCCAUACCGCGUGGGUGAAGAAGGCCUUCGGGUUGUAAAGCCCUUUUGUUGGGAAAGAAAAGCAGCAGGUUAAUACCCCGCUGUUCUGACGGUACCCAAAGAAUAAGCACCGGCUAACUUCGUG